RNAcentral lists this long non-coding RNA (1025 nucleotides) under Cyanistes caeruleus (blue tit). RNAcentral describes it as "lncRNA (ENSCCEG00000021674.1)". Lineage: Eukaryota; Metazoa; Chordata; Aves; Passeriformes; Paridae. The record is from RNAcentral.
AUGAGCAAUUGCCUACUUUCUCUAGUUGCCUUCUUGCCUGGAAUAAUCAUCCUUUGUGGCUUGAUUGCUUUGGUCUGCAUUGUGCUUUUCGGCACCACACCUGCUCGUGGACAAAGGAAGACUGUCAAGAAGUUCAGGGAACCAGGAAAGAUUGGAUGUGAUAUCUGUAAUGUAGUUGCCAACCCAAAUGUACCUCCAGAAGACAUUGAAUUUGCUAUAGGUGAUUAUCUAGUCAAGGUGGAGAAGGGGAUCAGUCCUGACUCCAAUGUGUGCCUGGAGAUGUUUCCAAAAGAGCAGUUUGUGCCUGGCAGCAAUGUACGGCAAGUACAACUGGUGACUGAUGCCCAGGAAGACAGAAGUUCAGAUGAGCAAAGUUAUAUUUUGACUUUCCAGUACUUGCAGAACUCUUUACAGAUCUUCCUGGAGAGAAUUGCUGGCACUUCCCAGAAAAGAGGUGAUGUGACAUCCACCACCAUCACUAAGAACAGAAAGUCCAAGUAGGCAGCAAAAGACAAGCCAAGAAGGCAGCAAAAGUGAAGUUAAAAAGAGAGAACCUACCCUGUUUUCAACUUGGCAACUUGCCCUUCUACAACUUGCAGUGCAAAGAACCUUCUCUCCUUUGUCACCUAAGAACUAAGCUUGCGGGUGUGCUUCUCACUGCUUCAUUAAAAAUUCACUGUGGUUAACACUCAUACUAGAUGUUUGGGUUUAUUUAUAGCUUUUUAUGUUUAAAUGUGAUACACUGACAUUGUUGGUAUAAUUGAAAACCAAAUUCAUUGUUUUAACUUCAGUGCAGAGGAAACUAUGGGGAAGUAAAUGCUUUUAUUUUACAUUUCCAUUUGAGAAUUAGAAAUACUGAUUAAAAAAAGGAUUUUUUCUUAGUGUUAGCAAAUCUAAGUGUCCAUCUAUUAAUUGAUGCCUGGACAAAAAUGCCCAGUGGCACUUGUUAAAAUGGAGAAAUGUAAGUAACAGGUGUCCUAGUAGAAUAGCUGACACUUAUUUUUAAGCCUACACUUACUGUUCUG